UACGUAGGGUGCAAGCGUUAAUCGGAAUUAUUGGGCGUAAAGCGCGCGUAGGCGGCCCUGUAAGUCCGCUGUAAAAGUCAAAGGCUCAACCUUUGAAAGCCGGUGGAUACUGCAGGGCUAGAGUCCGGAAGAGGCGAGUGGAAUUCCUGGUGUAGCGGUGGAAUGCGCAGAUAUCAGGAGGAACACCAAUAGCGAAGGCAGCUCGCUGGGACGGUACUGACGCUAAGGCGCGAAAGCGUGGGGAGCGAACAGG
RNAcentral lists this ribosomal RNA (253 nucleotides) under uncultured bacterium. RNAcentral describes it as "partial 16S ribosomal RNA". It matches the Rfam family "Bacterial small subunit ribosomal RNA", at positions 524 to 776 of the family's 1533-position model. The record is from RNAcentral.